Molecule: long non-coding RNA, 1619 nt
Organism: Astatotilapia calliptera (eastern happy)
Lineage: Eukaryota; Metazoa; Chordata; Actinopteri; Cichliformes; Cichlidae
Source: Ensembl
GGAAAGUAUUUUUAUGUGGUGAAUGUCCGUGUGAUUGUGAGAGGAGCACGCCGAGGGUGUGUUCGUGCAGGCUUUGAGCGGGCAGCCAGUGAAGUGCACCGUCUCCCAUGAUGGUGGCACGACCACGUACGCCCUCCAGACCGAGUUUUCUGACAAGGAUGUGCAGAAGCCCGAGUUCUCGUGGUUUAACAUCUCCAAAUACGUCCUCGCCAACCACCUCGAUCAAAUUGCUGUGGUGAUAAGUCGCAGCUUCAACGCUCUCACUAUCAGAGCUUGCAUCGAAAACCUUUUCUGUGAAGGACACGUCAACUCCAAGGGGAAACCUCUCGACUACACGGCCAACUGCACCACCGUCUGCCCUCCCGUAGCUUUGCCCGGAGACCAAGGGAACUCUCAUCACUGGAUCAUCCCUGUCAUUGUCAUUGUCAUAGUGAUAGUGAUAGCGCUUGCAUGCAUCAUCCUGUGCUGCAGAAAUGAAAAUCUCAGGAGAUGCCGCUGUGGGCAAACCAGAGGACUUUACAUCGUCGGGAAGAAAGAAGCAGCAAAGCCAGAAAUUGUGUAGAAAGAACAGAUCUGAAACGAUGAUCUUUCCCCUUUUUUCACUUUGAAGUAGAGUGUGCAUGAAAAGGUUAAUCUCCACCUGUGAGUGGAUGCUUUCUGUAGUUUCCCACUGCAUCUACACAGUAAGUGUAGAUGCAGUGGGAGUGUGGACACUUCCUCUGGACUCAUCUUCAGUUUCUCUUUGUUCGUACUUUGGCACAGUUAAUGACAGCACAGUGGUGGUAAUGAGUGACAGAAUGACACUUAUGUGACUGGAUGCUGGAGACUUGAGGUGCUAAACUCUAAGUCAUGUGUGACCUUUUAUUUUAAGCAUUACUUAAUGAUGAUAAUAAUAAUAAUAAUAAUAAUAAUAAUAAUAAUAAUAAUUCGUCUCUGAAGCAGUGGGCAGCCACUGGGCGCCCGGGGAGCAGCGUGUAGGGACGGUACCUUGCUCAGGGGUACCUCAGGGUAGCUGUUUAGUGGAUUCGAACCCUCCUGUUUUGCAUUAUACUUGCCAAAGCUGAACCCCAGCUCACUGAUUAGUGUCACUGUAACUGUAUCUGGCUACGGCCUCGAUCCCGUUGUUGAUUUUAUUCCACUUGCCGGUUAGCUGUGAGGGAUUGGUGCACAGGUGAAAAGUUCUCUGGGCUGUGGAAGCUCUCAGACUCUUUGCUGCACCAGCGAGUGCACUUUGAGGAGCCAAAAAGCAUUAAUACAUUAAUACAACCCCCCCCGUGUAAACCAGCUGUGGAAGCUCAGAGACUCAUAAUGCAGCACCAGGGCGUGCACUUUCAGUGUCCUAUAGCAUUACAGCACAUAGUAUAUAUAACAUAUAGUAAUAUAAAGAUGAAUAUAGAUGACUUACUAUCUAUAGCUACUGAUAUUUUAUAAUAUGAAACUAUAUUAUUUAUAUAUAAAUAUAUUAUUUUUAUUAUUAUAUAACUUAUAAAGAUGAACAUUGCGAUCUUAAACUACUCGUCAUGUGUCCUCUUUACGCUGUCCUUAUGAAGUGUAUAUUUUAAGCUGUCAAUCAAACAUUUGUUUCUCUAUCUGCUGUAUUACUGUUUCUUUUUCACUCA